GGCCGUGUGGCCCAAUGGCAAGGCGCUUGACUACGACUCCAUCAUCGAAAUCAAGAGAUUCCAGGUUCGACCCCUGGCACGGUCA
This is a non-coding RNA of Taxawa tesnikishii (nom. ined.), 85 nucleotides long. Lineage: Eukaryota; Fungi; Ascomycota; Dothideomycetes; Dothideales. The record is from the annotation of a GenBank genome assembly.